AGGCCUGCAAACGCGACAACAGGUUUACCUUGAGUCUUCACAGCAACGAUUCGCACAGCUACUAACGAGCAAAUAUUUGGAUCUGUACAAAAGUGUACAGAUGUAUAGUAUGAGCACACCACAACGAUGCCUAGUAAGUAUCAAGACUAACCUUAGUGGAGUAGUAACGAGAAACAGUCAACACACCUACUGGUCUAAUCAAUUGAACAAGUAUAGUUAUAGGAACAACAAUGCAUGAUUUCUACAUGAAAACUACGCAAUAUGACUAAUAACAUUUUAUAAUAAGAAAGGGAAAACGGCAAGUAUCGUUGCAAUGCCAUAAUAAUGACACAGAAUAGUGAGCGGAAAUAGUAACUCGGCAACUACGAUAGCUUUCAAUUUUGAUUUUAGUCAACAACCUUCAUGAAUUACAGAACCUCGGAUAAAUUACAGCUCACGGGUCUCAAUACCUGAACCCUAACACUUGGCAUCCUGUGCUCCCAUCACAUCUCAUAAUCGCACUGGUGACUCACGUACCAAAUAGAGCCACUCUCACAUAGAAGGCAAGUAAACAAGAGUGUGCAUCCAUACUCAACAAUAUCAAGAAAAACUCUUAUCCGAUAAGGGUGAUCAGCUACGUGUAUCCUUGUGAAAGUGUCCUAGCUCAUUUGAGCUAGUAAGCAUAAGGAAAAGAAUGGACAACACGUACAAUGUUUGCAAGGGGAUUUCCCGAAUACAAUUUUGUAGUCCCAAAGUAAAUAUGUAUAACACGAGGAUCUCCUUGAAUAAUGUUUCGUAGUCCCAAAGUAAAUAUCCAGCGCAACCAACAACGUUAACAGUUACAGUACGACAGAAAUCUCAUGCAUCACCAUAACAAGUACAAUAACAACGAUGUCAAUAAUACGAAGUACGACAGGUAAAUCAACUCAUGAACCUUAAAUCACAAAGAAAUGGUAGAACCCGUUCACAGGAAUUAGCCAUAGUAAAGAAUGCUGGGUGUUAGAGAACAACUUAACAAGGGAAAACCAAAAUGUACCAACGAUCCUACACUACGCAAUUCAAUAACAAGGAAGCUAACACGGGUCAAAUGGUUCCAAAUAAUGCUAUGUCAGCUGAAAUAUAGGAUAUUUUCUUUAAGGUUGAGCAACUACGAAGGUUAUUCAACAAUUCGAUUAAGGAUAAGCGGCGGAAAGAUAAUCGCAACCUCAAUUAAGAUUAACAAUUAUAGGAUGACAUAAUAAUAAUUUUAGGUAAAGAUAGACAGUUAUGAAAAGAUAUCAUGACAAUAGGAGAGAUACAAAUCUUCAGUUAAGUCAAAUAAGAGUCAAAUAGGCAAUAAUAGUGAAUCAUAAAAUAAUGAAUUCCAAUUAAGAAUGUAGAGGUGAAACUAGUAAAUAGGAAACUCAGUCGAAUCAAUAACAACUUCAUACUCAAUGAAUAUAAGGACCUAAGAACCCUAAAGGACAACUUUCCACUAAUAAGUUCGAGUAUGCACUCAUCACCUUACAUACACGAACUAAAAUCAAUAUAGAAGACUCAAAUAUUAAGGAAAAAUUCCCCACAUAAGGUUAGGCAAUAUACUUACCUCAAAGAAGACAAACGAGUACUCUAAAAUGAACUUCUUGGGUGAAAAGACCUCCAUACGGCUAAAUCAAACCAAAUAACUUCAAAGCAAAAAUAAAACUCAUAAGAAACUAUUUCGGAUCAUAAAGUCUCAAUCUUUAACAAAAUAUAAAUAUUGGUCCAAAAGUCGACCCCCAGGCCCGCACCUCCAACCCAAUAAAUUUUACAAAAACCAAAUACCCAUUCCGAUACGAGUUCAACCAUACAAAAUUUAUCAAAUUUCGAUACUAUUUCUCCCUUCAAAUCAUGUUUUUUUUCAUUUUGAAAACUUUCUUCAAAAAUCACCAUUUUCCUCAACUUAAAAUACAAAUCAAAUGAUAAAAACAAAGGUAAAAUCAUGGAAUAUAUUAAAUUAUUGGUGAAGAAUACUUACCCAAUUGAUUUGCUUGAAAAACACAAAAAGAAGCUCCCAAAACCUAAGUCUAUAACUCAUAAUAUGAAGAAAAUGGUCAAACCCUCGACCUAAAUGUUUCUUCAAGGACUUCCACAUAUGCAGACACGCAAGUGCAUUUGCGGAAUCGGAUUUGCAAGAAAAGAGUUCAUAUCUGUGAAUUCACCUAACCAGGCCUGGGACCACAUCUGUGGAUUUACAAUGGCACCAGCGGCAAUGCAGAAGCGAAAGGGGAAAUUGCAAAAGCGAGAUAAAUUGUAGGUGUGAUCGUUGGACUACAAAAGUGACCUCCGCACCUGCACGCCAGCCUCCGCAGAAGCGAGAAAUCACCCAGUCCUUCAUGACCGCAUAAGUGGCUAGGCUCACGCAGAAGCGGAGCCGCACUGGCGCUCCAUGGUCGGAGGUGCAAAACACCACAACCAGACCUGUUACUGUGCAAAACAUCUGAAACUCGUUGGAAACAUGCCUGGGCCCCCCGUCCAAGCAUACCAACAUGUGACAUACCUUAACAUGGACCCGCUGGAGAUCUCAAAUCACAUCAAACAACGUUGAGUUUACGAAUCGCACAAAUAAUCGUACUUGUGAACUUUCACAUCUUUCAACUUCUAAACUUGCGCCAAGACCUUUCAAAUGAACCUAGAAUAACGCCAAAUUUUGCAGACAAGUCCUAAAUGACAUAACAUAGUUGUUUCGAAUCUCGCAAUUGCUUUCUAACCCUGAUAUCACAAAACUCAACUACGGUCAAACUUCUCCAUUUUCUAAGUUUCAACUUUUUCAACUUUCGUUGAAAUGCUCAAAAUUACCCUACGGACCUCCAAAUCCGAAUUCGGAUGCACAGUUAAGUCCCAAAUCACCAUACAAAGCUCUUGAAAUCAACCAAAACCCAUUCUGGAGUCAAUUACAGAAAAAUCAAAUUCCUAUUAAAUUCUCAUCGCUUAUGCUUCCAAAGCUAAAAUCUUUCUUCAAAUUUGACUCUAAAUCAUCCGGUAACUGAAUUCAUCCAUGUACAAAAAUAGAUAUACAUAAUAUGAAGUUGUUCAAGACCUUAUGCAGCCAAACAGAACUUACAUUCUCAAAAUUACCGGACGGGUCAUUACAUCCUCCCCCGCUUGAACAAAAAUUCAUCCUCAAACGUGCCAAGAUUCGCUUUGAAGUCAAAUCACUGAAUGCACACUUCCAACGUACCCUCGUGGGUGAUUCCACGUCACUCCAAUCUAUAUAAGCCUGACGACACCAUCUCAACUGCAAUUUAGCCUUUCUACCAACACCGAUAAACCUCAUACCCCAAAUUCUCACCUUCUAUUCAUUUCCAAAAGAUCUGAUUCUAAAUCCAUAUCUGGUAUCAGUAUCAACCAGUUUCAUCAACUCACACCCACACCCACAAGGUACAACCAUACAAUACACUACACAUAGGCCUAUAAUAAACUUUUUAUCACAAUAGAUGCCCGAAAUCAAAUCCAGCACCGGCCAUUAGACUCAUAUUCAUAGGGACUCAUUUUCAAACCUCCACAACACUAGCGAUGAUACAAGAACCAUGAAAACAUCAUAAACUAAACACCCCAAUCAACAAGUCACAACUAACACCUAUCACACCUCCUUUUUUACACCCCGAAAGGAAUAUAUAAGGGAUUUUUUUCCCAAUUUAAGUGACAAAGACAAUCAAAAUGGAAUUAUUUAUUUAAAAAUCUGACUCACCAUUUGGGAUAAUUUAUGAUGUCCUAAGUCACUGGUUUAAAAUCCCGAAUCGAGGAAGUUUGAUUCUAUUUAUGGUCUGCGAACACAGAAAUCUGGGUUAGAAAUUCUGUUAAACCGGGAGAAGGUGUUAGACAUUCCUGGGUUCCGUGGUUUUAGCACGUUCUCUUUGAUCAUACUUGGCUUAAUCAAAAUUUUCUGAUUACUCAUUUUAGAAUAUGUGCAUUGCCUCUUUUAAUUAAGAAAUUAUCUUAAAACAUGUCACACGUAUGUGCAUUUUUUUAGUGCGUCAAAACCAUGUCAUGUGUAUGUGUCCACAAUUAGUAACGCUUUUAUAUUACUAAGAAAGUUUGGUCGAAGUUGCACAAAUGUAUACUCCAAUUUUUAUUUUUAAAAUUGUAAUUAUGUCACGCGAAUGUGUCCACAAUCACGAUGGUAUAUUAAAUGUGCCUACAACUAACUAGGAAUAUCAUUUUUCACAACACUUAACAAGAGGGACAUAAGUUAUGAAAUCAAACAUGGGUUAACUUCUAAUUUCAAAUCUACAUAAUUCAUUAUACCACUUCACGAUAACAUUAUUUCCAAUGUCUAAGUUUUGUAGUUUUAUAUUAAAAAACCAACUCACUGGGAAGUGUCUUAAUAUCGUUAUGAGCAAGGCGCAGCUCCUUUAACUCGGUGCAGGAUUUGAGUGAAAAGUCAAUACCUUGUAGUUGGCAAUUAGAGAGAGACAAUUUUGUGAUUGAGUUUUUGGCCAGAUUCUACCAAUUCCAGAUAUUGGACUUCUAAAAAGGACCAAUGUAUUCAGCUCUUGUAUUUUAUCUCGUUCAUUGAUUUGAGCUUGUUUUUCCCAGCAUUCAGUACCUUCAAGAAAAUUUUUAGCCGCAUUCUUCUACAAUAAUUGUUUCAAUACAAAAUCUCCAAAGUGAAUUGUGAAACAAAAGAGAAAAAGGCUGAUGUUGAACUAACGACGAGAAACAAACGAAUCCUCGAACGAAACUACAAACCAAGAACAGAAGGCCACUGAUUGGAACUUCGAACUUGCGACAGAACCUCGACAGAUUGGAUUUCUCUACUGUUCACUCAAUUUUUUGGACUGAAAUUCCCCACCCCCUCUCUUACUCCCGUUCUCUCACUGCUUCUGCUCUGAAUUUUUGGCGAGAUGGCCGAUUGAAGAUUCAAAUAUGAAUGUGUGUGUUGGAUUGAAACUCGAAUGAAAUAGGCCGUUUGGGUUUUGUGACUGGUUGUGUUCGUGUGAGCUUGGUGAAGGGGGGAUGGCGUGAGGUUGGAAAUUCAAGGGUCUUUUGUUGGAGAUCGGCUGUGUCUUGUGUUGAACCACUAAAGAAGAACAAGAACGAGAGAGGGAGGGGUCUGAAAUUGUUAUAUUGCUGCUGCUUCUUCAGAUUCUCAUUUUUAUAUAUGUUUGUCCAGAUCUCGAAGAACGGCGGAUUUUCUGUGUAUAGGUCUAGGUUAUAUGUGAGGAUGUAUUUUUGUGUAUUUAAGCUCCUCUCUUUCGAGUGUAUAGGUCUCUCUUUUACUAGGGAUUCUAGGUUUUAUGUUAAAA
This 5246-nucleotide long non-coding RNA is filed under the name Nicotiana benthamiana. RNAcentral's name for it is "long non-coding RNA (NBEN_LNC029660)". The record is from RNAcentral. Lineage: Eukaryota; Viridiplantae; Streptophyta; Magnoliopsida; Solanales; Solanaceae.